CCGUGGUGCAUUGUAGUUGCAUUGCAUGUUUAUGGUGGUACCCAUGCAGUGUUUCCACAGUGCAUCACAG
This 70-nucleotide microRNA precursor is filed under the name Pteropus vampyrus (large flying fox). RNAcentral's name for it is "microRNA 33a (ENSPVAG00000027432.1)". It matches the Rfam family "mir-33 microRNA precursor family". The record is from RNAcentral. Lineage: Eukaryota; Metazoa; Chordata; Mammalia; Chiroptera; Pteropodidae.